ACAUCCAGAGAAUUUAGCAGAGAUGCUUUAGUGCCUUCGGGAACUCUGAGACAGGUGCUGCAUGGCUGUCGUCAGCUCGUGUUGUGAAAUGUUGGGUUAGGUCCCGNAACGAGCGCAACCCCUAUCCUUUGUUGCCAGCGAUUCGGUCGGGAACUCAAAGGAGACUGCCGGUGAUAAACCGGAGGAAGGUGGGGAUGACGUCAAGUCAUCAUGGCCCUUACGAGUAGGGCUACACACGUGCUACAAUGGCGCAUACAAAGAGAAGCGACCUCGCGAGAGCAAGCGGACCUCAUAAAGUGCGUCGUAGUCCGGAUUGGAGUCUGCAACUCGACUCCAUGAAGUCGGAAUCGCUAGUAAUCGUAGAUCAGAAUGCUACGGUGAAUACGUUCCCGGGCCUUGUACACACCGCCCGUCACACCAUGGGAGUGGGUUGCAAAAGAAGUAGAUAGCUUAACCUUCGGGAGGGCGUUUACCACUUUGUGAUUCAUGACUGGGGUGAAGUCGUAACAAGGUAAGCGUACGUGU
Molecule: ribosomal RNA, 525 nt
Filed under: uncultured bacterium
Lineage: Bacteria
Description: bacterial SSU rRNA
Rfam family: Bacterial small subunit ribosomal RNA
Source: RNAcentral